GACGAACGCUGGCGGCGUGCUUAACACAUGCAAGUCGAACGGAAAGGCCCUGCUUUUGUGGGGUGCUCGAGUGGCGAACGGGUGAGUAACACGUGAGUAACCUGCCCUUUACUUUGGGAUAACUUCAGUAAACUGGGGCUAAUACCGGGUAGGAGCUCCUUCUGCAUGGUGGGGGUUGUAAAGUUUCGGAGGUUGGGGAUGGACUCGCGGCUUAUCAGCGUGUUGGUGGGGUAGUGGCUUACAAAGGCUUUGAGGGGUAGCCGGCCUGAGAGGGUGACCGGCCACAUUGGGACUGAGAUACGGCCCAGACUCCUACGGGAGGCAGCAGUGGGGAAUAUUGCACAAUGGGCGGAAGCCUGAUGCAGCAACGCCGCGUGCGGGAUGACGGCCUUCGGGUUGUAAACCGCUUUCGCCUGUGACGAAGCGUGAGUGACGGUAAUGGGUAAAGAAGCACCGGCUAACUACGUG
This 468-nucleotide ribosomal RNA is filed under the name uncultured bacterium. Its description in RNAcentral is "partial 16S ribosomal RNA". It matches the Rfam family "Bacterial small subunit ribosomal RNA", at positions 28 to 507 of the family's 1533-position model. The record is from RNAcentral.